AUGCGACUCUGAAACCCCCUGGAUGUCUCUCUCUCAUAGAUGCCAGGACAAGAAGAGACGCCAGAGCCAACCUGUGAGAAUUCCAAAGAGCUGAGACUGCCUGUUUCUGUUCUAUUUCACCUCUCACACAUUU
Small nucleolar RNA from Rana temporaria (common frog), 133 nucleotides. RefSeq annotates it as small nucleolar RNA SNORA14. The transcript has a single exon. NCBI's taxonomy places the organism in Eukaryota, Metazoa, Chordata, Amphibia, Anura, Ranidae. The record is from RefSeq and is a predicted model, not a curated record.